UAAAACGUAGGAGACAAACGUUAUCCGGAGUUACUGGGCGUAAAGGGCGUGCAGGCGGUCUGUUAAGUCUGGCGUGAAAGCUCUCGGCUAAACCGGGAGAGGUCGUUGGAUACUGAUGGACUAGAGGACGGUAGAGGCGUGUGGAAUUCCGGGUGUAGUGGUGAAAUGCGUAGAGAUCCGGAGGAACACCAGUGGCGAAGGCGACACGCUGGGCCGUACCUGACGCUAAGACGCGAAAGCGUGGGGAGCGAACA
RNAcentral lists this ribosomal RNA (254 nucleotides) under uncultured prokaryote. Its description in RNAcentral is "partial 16S ribosomal RNA". It matches the Rfam family "Bacterial small subunit ribosomal RNA", at positions 521 to 774 of the family's 1533-position model. The record is from RNAcentral.